This 199-nucleotide long non-coding RNA is filed under the name Elaeis guineensis (African oil palm). Its description in RNAcentral is "long non-coding RNA (EGUI_LNC061482)". Lineage: Eukaryota; Viridiplantae; Streptophyta; Magnoliopsida; Arecales; Arecaceae. The record is from RNAcentral.
GCUUGUAACUCUUGUCUGGUAUAAGAUUUUCAGGAUUACUUUAUGCCAGGACUUCCUAUAAUAGGAACUCUCAGGCUACCAAGAUUUGUUCUUCAAUGUUGGCACUUGGGAUCUUCUUAUAGAAGAUUUGGUAGACUUCUUGCUUGGGGAUCAAGUGUCUUGAUGUUAAAGUAACUUAUCGAUGAAGUAGCUUGCUGGU